Molecule: long non-coding RNA, 263 nt
Organism: Bactrocera latifrons
Lineage: Eukaryota; Metazoa; Arthropoda; Insecta; Diptera; Tephritidae
Exons: 3
Source: RefSeq, a predicted model, not a curated record
GGAAGAUCCAAAUUUGUUUGCUUUAUUCGAAAUGGAACUCAAAACUGUUGGAAAAAAGCCCAACUUUACCAAAAAUUGUUGGAGAAAAUUAUUGGUCGAUGAACUGGUGGAAAAACUGUGCUGAAAAGGGACGGAGCAAAAAAAAAAGUGUACGCAGCCUAAGUACAUCGAAAUCAAUUAGAAAUGCUGCAAUUUCUAUUGGAAUCGGAGAGGAUGAAUUAAUCCGGAACACAAAGUCUUUCUUCCAAUUUGCCAAAAACCGC